Molecule: unclassified non-coding RNA, 2486 nt
Filed under: Ixodes scapularis (black-legged tick)
Lineage: Eukaryota; Metazoa; Arthropoda; Arachnida; Ixodida; Ixodidae
Description: uncharacterized LOC115312425, transcript variant X1
Source: RNAcentral
UUGAAAUCUUGGGAACCACCGUGCCAGCCGACCACUGUGUUGUUGACUGUGUCAACUGUGCUCGGAACGUUCGGAACCUUUCGGAGCUCGACAAGGUUGCGGUAGGCUCACCUGUCCGUACUAGCCAAAGGGUGGGCUUAAAUCCUCUUUCGUACGUACCUCGUACUCGUUGAAAACCUCGAGAAAAUGGACCACAGGUUGCUACUCGGACGCAUGGAAGGGAAGGCUGCACGACUGAGGCAGUUUGACGAGACGGCCGACCAGGUUGUGCGGAGGAUUGAGCAGACUUCGGCCCUGCUGGAAGAGAGGCUAAAAGACGUGGUCCAGGAGGCCGGAGCAAAGCCAGUGGCUUUGAUCCUGGAGGAAGUACAGGAGGCGGCAAAAAAGGGGGCAUCAGUCCCGUGCUUCGGGUAAGCAUCGCCAGUACUCCAGUCACUGCUUAUAAAUGGUCUAGCGAGGAAGAAUGUUCCUCGCAAAAAUCGCGCGCUGAUCCCCUUGAUGAAGCAAUCACGUACUGGAGCUGUAUGUGUGUGGUGCUGGGGCAAUACCUCAAGGAAGAACCAAAGAAGGCUGGCUCGUGCGUACUGCGGCUUCGUCCCAUCUUUUGUUCUCGCCGCUUGAUGUUGUGUUUCAGUGUGUAGAUGCUAGUCUGACUGCGACAGUAAGCUUGAGCUUUGUGGAUUGAUGCAUGGCCAAUGAUGCGUUGAAUAUGGACCGAGUUUUAAAAUAGGGGCCUGAAAGGCUUAGGGGCCCCUGAAAAGCUCAUCUCUGCACAUAUGCCAAACGUAGGCUGCAUUUUGGGUUUUGGGUUCACUUGUGACGCAAAAUUCGAGAAAUAGCACGGGGGUCUCUAGCGUAAAUUAACACCCACUUUGUGCAAGUGCCCGCUAGUAAACUUUCCCAAGCUUGGGAAUUCUGGAAACCCUCGGAAGCGCCGGCAUGAGCCGAAGAUAUUCAUCCCAAUGUGGCGGCCAUGAAACUGCCAUCGGCGAUGAUGGGGAUAUCCGCUUUCUUGCGACGGAAAGGGACAAACUAGUUGCAACCAGAGCAAGGACCUCCUCCACUGACUUGGGAGAGUGUCCCGUCAUCAUUCAUUGUGCGAAAAUGUGUUUUCUCCGAUGCGCCCUGCCUUCAAAGGCGGCCAUCUCGGCUUUUACCGAUUGGCCCGGGCCCCUGUGUACCCAGUGUUUGGCAAAAGCCCCGAAAUUUUACGCUAACUGCUUGGGUCAGGUCUUCAGGAGCAAAUCCAUCGUGGCCACCGCACUUUUGGCCACGUUUGUCGGCAGUUAUAAGAGGGCAGCAGUCUUUCUCUUCGGGUUACCUCGCUUAAGUCGCGAGCGGUGAUCUUGCCCGACUUUCUCGGUAGUCUUCUGGCAUUCCUCGCCCCGAGAGGCUGCGGUAAUCGCUCGUACGGCAGCACCUCACGAGUCCUAGUGGAUGGCCUUGGCUCGGUCGGCUGGGUGCUUGUGGCAGGAGCAGCCUGCUACGGUGGCCAUGAACAGCUGACAUUUUUUUGGAGAAUGUUGCUCCUUGGCCGUAGUGGCGCGGGAAGGGAGCAUGUUACGGGGCACGACAGGGGUGCGAGCCCCCUUGGAUUAGCUCUAUCUGAAAACUUGCUGAUGUGUGCCCCUCGUGCGGCUUUGGAGUUGUUUCACCUGGUGUGGGCCACCAGAUGUGUCCAGAGUACCGCACUUGGUAUCUUGGGAGCAGAGAAUUCGGUCAGUUUUAUUUCUUUAUUUGGAAACGUCGUGUCUAGACAGAGCUCUAGAAAAUGGCUGAAAAUUUAGGAUUUUUAAAAAUCGCCAAGUUUCAAUAACAAUCCAGGCUCGCAAAAUAUGAUGACUCCAUUCAAUCUCGAGCUUUUCUAUAACCACCAAAUUUUGAGUGUCGAAGAGCUUGAUUUAUUAUAAAUGCCCCUUCACACAUACAGCACAGCACGGCACCAGUGCUUAGGUAGGUUCUAGUCAGUGCUGUUUUCAAGGUGACGUUCCAAGUAUCUUUUUUUUUCUUUCGUGUAGAUGUAAUUGCUUUACUAAAGUUUUUGUAAUAUUCUCAAGAAAGGAUAUGAGUAAACUUGAUAUUGUUAUUUCCUGCAGUAACUGAACUGGAUCUUUCUAAAGUCAAUCAAUAAAAAGUAUAGAGAUACAUAUUACUUGGAGUAAUUAGGAUCCUACGUCUCCAGUCGCCAGUUGCGCUUUUUUCGUGGUAAAUAAAGCCAGUCUACAAACCUAUCUUUAGAGUAUAUGCUGGAACCUUGGAAACACCCUUAUAGAGCUCAAGAUCUCUUGUAACGAGAAUUUGUGCGUAACGACCUGUAAAAAAGGUACUCGGUUAGGAUGCUUUGCUGCAUCUUUGAUUCAAGGGGACAUACCUAAAAUCUGAUGUCGGAAUCAAAAUCAGUAUACCGUAUUUACUCUCAUAAUGAACACAUUUUUUGCUGAAGAAUUGACGCAUAUUUCGGAGUGCGUUCAUUACGCGGUGUAAAA